GCCCGCUUAGCUCAGAUGGCAGAGCGCUCGCUUAGUAAGCGAAAGGUCGGUGGUUCGAUUCCGCCAGUGGGCU
Molecule: transfer RNA, 73 nt
Organism: Stylonychia lemnae
Lineage: Eukaryota; Ciliophora; Spirotrichea; Sporadotrichida; Oxytrichidae
Rfam family: tRNA
About the family: Transfer RNA (tRNA) molecules are approximately 80 nucleotides in length. Their secondary structure includes four short double-helical elements and three loops (D, anti-codon, and T loops).
Source: Rfam